Molecule: ribosomal RNA, 301 nt
Filed under: uncultured bacterium
Lineage: Bacteria
Description: partial 16S ribosomal RNA
Rfam family: Bacterial small subunit ribosomal RNA
Source: RNAcentral
CAGUAGCCGCGGUAAUGCGGAGGGAGCUAGCGUUGUUCGGAAUUACUGGGCGUAAAGCGCACGUAGGCGGUUAUUCAAGUCAGAGGUGAAAGCCCGGGGCUCAACCCCGGAACUGCCUUUGAAACUAGAUGACUGGAAUCUUGGAGAGGUCAGUGGAAUUCCGAGUGUAGAGGUGAAAUUCGUAGAUAUUCGGAAGAACACCAGUGGCGAAGGCGACUGACUGGACAAGUAUUGACGCUGAGGUGCGAAAGCGUGGGGAGCGAACAGGAUUAGAUACCCCCGUAGUCCCUGUCUCUUAUAC